CGAACGGGGUUAUCAUUUUUGAAGCGAUUAGCUUGCUAAGAGUGGAACAGUUGAUAACUUAGUGGCGGACGGGUGAGUAACGCGUGGGUAACCUGCCUUACACAGGGGGAUAACACUUAGAAAUAGGUGCUAAUACCGCAUAAGCGCACAGUCCCGCAUGGGACAGAGUGAAAAACAUUAGCGGUGUAAGAUGGACCCGCGUCUGAUUAGCUUGUUGGCGGGGUAACGGCCCACCAAGGCGACGAUCAGUAGCCGGCCUGAGAGGGUGGACGGCCACAUUGGGACUGAGACACGGCCCAAACUCCUACGGGAGGCAGCAGUGGGGGAUAUUGGACAAUGGGGGAAACCCUGAUCCAGCGACGCCGCGUGAGUGAAGAAGUAUUUCGGUAUGUAAAGCUCUAUCAGCAGGGAAGAAAGAAAUGACGGUACCUGAGUAAGAAGCCCCGGCUAACUACGUGCCAGCAGCCGCGGUAAUACGUAGGGGGCAAGCGUUAUCCGGAAUUACUGGGUGUAAAGGGAGCGUAGACGGUAAUGCAAGUCUGGAGUGAAAGGCGGGGGCCCAACCCCCGGACUGCUCUGGAAACUGUGUAACUGGAGUGCAGGAGAGGCAGGCGGAAUUCCUAGUGUAGCGGUGAAAUGCGUAGAUAUUAGGAGGAACACCAGUGGCGAAGGCGGCCUGCUGGACUGUAACUGACGUUGAGGCUCGAAAGCGUGGGGAGCAAACAGGAUUAGAUACCCUGGUAGUCCACGCCGUAAACGAUGAUUACUAGGUGUGGGUGGGUAUGGACCCAUCGGUGCCGCAGCAAACGCAGUA
RNAcentral lists this ribosomal RNA (814 nucleotides) under uncultured bacterium. Its description in RNAcentral is "bacterial SSU rRNA". It matches the Rfam family "Bacterial small subunit ribosomal RNA", at positions 21 to 862 of the family's 1533-position model. The record is from RNAcentral.